GUCGAACGUUGUUUUUGAAGGUCUUGAUAACAAAGUGGC
RNAcentral lists this ribosomal RNA (39 nucleotides) under Scybalium jamaicense. RNAcentral's name for it is "partial small subunit ribosomal RNA". Lineage: Eukaryota; Viridiplantae; Streptophyta; Magnoliopsida; Santalales; Balanophoraceae. The record is from RNAcentral.